GCGCACAAAAAUAGCAAAGUGACACCUGAGAUACGACAACUUUCAAGCAUUAUCAAGAUGCAGACACAGGAGAUCGGUCACCUGCUUGACCCGAGCGUAAGGGAGAACGUGGAACUCCUGUCCAGGACUGUUGAACGUAUGGAUUCGCCCAGGACUGUUGAAGAUAUGGACCACUGAAUCAUCUGGUUGGCGGUUUUACUAAUAUAUAUGUUAAUACAGCUACAAAAAUCAUGUAUUUACACCCACUUUUGAACUCAGUCAAUAGAUUCCUCAGUGAUAUUUCAUGACAUACCCUGUAAGUCUUCAUUUUAUUUUAAGCAACAUAUAUAUAUAUAUAUAUAACUUUUUAAAACCUUGAUUAAUAUCAUUAGUAAAUUGGCUAAUUGUUAUGUCAGGAGUGGUAAAAAAUAAAUUACGGGUGGUAGCGAGGGAUUUCACUUUAUAUGAAGAAGAUAAUUAAACAGCCAAAUUGCGAGCUAUGGUUACCAUAUCUUAAAGAACGUGCAAGCAUUGAAUAAAUUACUCCCUACAGUUAUUAUACAUAUUUUGUAAAAA
Saccostrea cuccullata (small rock oyster) is the source of this 555-nucleotide long non-coding RNA. RefSeq lists it as uncharacterized. The transcript has 2 exons. Lineage: Eukaryota; Metazoa; Mollusca; Bivalvia; Ostreida; Ostreidae. The record is from RefSeq and is a predicted model, not a curated record.